UAAUAUUUUACGUACUUUUUGUACAGUGGAUAGCGUUUUCGAUAUAUAAACAAUGAAUAAAAUAGGAAACCUACGUGAGUUGUAACACGAAAAUUAUUUUGUUGCGAAAUAUCCUCUCUGUGAUAGUUUCGUAGAAUUUUGCUUUCAUUUGUAAUUGGCGGAGAGACUUUCAAUGAGGAUGUAGUUUGCACACGAUACUCUUUACACUGGUCUUUAUAAGUAGAAACUUUGACCUUUGCGACGGGACACAUCUGGAAGUAAAAUGCCUUGCCCGUGUGGAAGUCAAUGCAAGUGUGGAGGGAACUGUAACUGCAGCGGCGGCAGUUGCAAGUGUUGUAGUGGAAAUAAAUGUCCAAAUGGAGGCAAUUGCGGAAAUAACCCAUGCACAUGCAAAAAGUGAUAAAAUAUUUUGAAUCAAAAACUAUAUAUAAAAUUAUAUAUAGUUAGUCGUUUCUGAACAUAUUUUUUAUAAUGUUUGAUAAAUUUUUAAUUUGUAGCUUUAGAAUUGAUGAACAUAAAUGACAGCAAAAAAGAAAUAAAUAUAUGUUAAAAAAUGUA
This 558-nucleotide long non-coding RNA is filed under the name Centruroides sculpturatus (bark scorpion). Its description in RNAcentral is "uncharacterized LOC111633495, transcript variant X2". The record is from RNAcentral. Lineage: Eukaryota; Metazoa; Arthropoda; Arachnida; Scorpiones; Buthidae.